This 253-nucleotide ribosomal RNA is filed under the name uncultured bacterium. RNAcentral's name for it is "partial 16S ribosomal RNA". It matches the Rfam family "Bacterial small subunit ribosomal RNA", at positions 524 to 776 of the family's 1533-position model. The record is from RNAcentral.
UACGUAGGGGGCAAGCGUUGUCCGGAUUUAUUGGGCGUAAAGAGCGUGUAGGCGGUCAGGUAGGUCCGUUGUGAAAACUCGAGGCUCAACCUCGAGACGCCGAUGGAAACCAUCUGACUAGAGUCCGGAAGAGGAGAGUGGAAUUCCUGGUGUAGCGGUGAAAUGCGCAGAUAUCAGGAAGAACACCCGUGGCUAAGGCGGCUCUCUGGGACGUAACUGACGCUGAGACGCGAAAGCGUGGGGAGCAAACAGG